GAUGAAGAACGUAGCGAAAUGCGAUACGUAAUGUGAAUUGCAGAAUUCAGUGAAUCAUCGAAUCUUUGAACGCACAUUGCGCCCGCCAGCACUCUGGCGGGCAUGCCUGUUCGAGCGUCAUUUCAACCAUCAAGCCCCCGGCUUGUGUUGGGGACCUGCGGCUGCCGCAGGCCCUGAAAACCAGUGGCGGGCUCGCUAGUCACUCCGAGCGUAGUAAUACAUCUCGCUCAGGGCGUGCUGCGGGUUCCGGCCGUUAAAAAGCCUUAUUUACCCAAGGUUGACCUCGGAUCAGGUAGGAAGACCCGCUGAACUUAAGCAUAUCAAUAAGCGGAGGA
This 335-nucleotide unclassified non-coding RNA is filed under the name soil metagenome. RNAcentral describes it as "partial contains 5.8S ribosomal RNA, internal transcribed spacer 2, and large subunit ribosomal RNA". The stretch from base 1 to 120 matches the Rfam family "5.8S ribosomal RNA", at positions 35 to 154 of the family's 154-position model. The record is from RNAcentral.